Molecule: ribosomal RNA, 459 nt
Filed under: uncultured bacterium
Lineage: Bacteria
Description: partial 16S ribosomal RNA
Rfam family: Bacterial small subunit ribosomal RNA
Source: RNAcentral
CCUACGGGUGGCUGCAGUGAGGAAUAUUGGUCAAUGGACGCAAGUCUGAACCAGCCAUGCCGCGUGCAGGAAGACGGCUCUAUGAGUUGUAAACUGCUUUUGUACGAGGGUAAACGCAGAUACGCGUAUCUGUCUGAAAGUAUCGUACGAAUAAGGAUCGGCUAACUCCGUGCCAGCAGCCGCGGUAAUACGGAGGAGUCAAGCGUUAUCCGGUUUUAUUGGGUUUAAGGGGUGCGCAGGCGGAGGUGCCAGUCAGCGGUAAAAGCCCGGGGCUCAACCCCGGCCCGCCGUUGAAACUGGCAGUCUCGAGUUGGAGAGAAGUAUGCGGAAUGCGCGGUGUAGCGGUGAAAUGCAUAGAUAUCGCGCAGAACGCCGAUUGCGAAGGCAGCAUGCCGGCUCCACACUGACGCUGAGGCACGAAAGCGUGGGUAUCGAACAGGAUUAGAUACCCGGGUAGUC